GCGGGAGUGGUGGAAUGGCAGACACGCGGCGUUUAGGGCGCCGUGACGAAAGGCGUGAGGGUUCAAGUCCCUUCUCCCGCA
RNAcentral lists this transfer RNA (81 nucleotides) under bacterium. RNAcentral's name for it is "tRNA-Leu". It matches the Rfam family "tRNA". From Rfam's summary of the family: Transfer RNA (tRNA) molecules are approximately 80 nucleotides in length. The record is from RNAcentral.